RNAcentral lists this unclassified non-coding RNA (928 nucleotides) under Athalia rosae (coleseed sawfly). RNAcentral describes it as "misc RNA ENSAEAG00005000569.1". The record is from RNAcentral. Lineage: Eukaryota; Metazoa; Arthropoda; Insecta; Hymenoptera; Athaliidae.
UUUCGUGUUUCGAGUUCGGAGUAUGGCUGACAGAAUUUAAAUCAGUCUGGGCCGUAGUACGUUGAGCACGUCAAACGCCGAAGUUUAUAAAUCGCAUUUACGGCAUCCUUUGUGUUAACUAUUUGCUCGCCGAACUUUGACGUGUAUAACCAGCGCCUCGUGAGCAGCACGCUGAUAAUAAAAGGAACUCGAUCCAAAACUGGGCCCAACAAUCGUUCGCGAUAACGAGGAUAACUCACUUCAACCGAUGCGCGAAACAAAAGCUGCACGUGAUAUCGGCGUCCGCCAUCCGAAAAUUCGUUCCAUUAUUAUCGAUUGCACGACAACGACAACCGACAAAGUCUCGAAACUAUUAUCCUCCGUAUAACGCAUCCAGGGAAAAUGACGUCCUGAACCCACGUAACGUUGCCGCUGCUGCUGCUGCAGCGUCUGUCGCUUUUCCAAGAAUUUCCAUCUUUGAAAUUCUCAUCAUUUUACCGACCUCUCCGUGCAUCUGCGUCUGCUCCCGCUUCUCCUUCUGCUGCUGCUGCUGCUGCUGCUGCUGCUUCUGCUUCUGCUUCUGCUGCUGCACUUUUACGCGUUAUAACAGCGAGGUAACAGAAGCGGAGGUUCCCGACGUUCGAAGCUGGAGCUCGAGAGCGACGCCGAGUAUCCCUAACGAUAAUAUAUAACUUAGCCCAGUUGUGGGACAAGUGGCCGGUAGUAGUUGGAGUAGAGAGCAUUAGCCUACACUCUCCGACGUUCCUACACCCUCUUGGCCCCCGAGCGUGAGCGUGGUCAAGUAUUUCCAUUAGGAGUUCAAGGAGCCAACUCCGCCCUCUCGACUCGCUCGUUCAAAUUUCGAACGCCGUUCGCCCCGCUCCGUUCGCUUUCAGUUUUAUACCAAUGGGAUAACUUCACCCCUUUUCGCUCCUUUCCUUUUUUUUUC